GUCCGCCGACCAAAUUGUCUUCGCCUGGUUCGCCUCGCUUCCACGGUCUUCUCUAUUGCCUGUCACCCUCGCUCCCCACGCCGUCGACGGACGGUGGCGCUCUGGCCCAACCCCACAACCAUCGUCUUCUGCCAGCUUGGAUGCGAGUGGAGGCAAAAGGAAGAUGCACGUCGCGCUAGCUUGGAUGCGAGCCCGCGGCUCUAGCUCCCCCUAACGAGCCGCGCACCCCGUCCCUAGGCCCAGAUCCCGUCCUCCCUACGCAGGCUUGUGCGUCGCCGGCAAUGGAGGUCGCAUACUCCUCCUCGCUCACCUCUCCGUACCGAAUGUCGACAUCAAAUCUGGUUUUUCCUGGUGGCGGUGGCCUCAAUACUGGUGCCUACAGACCUCGCGUCCGAGUCCGUCACUCCGGCUCUUCCCGCACCCCUGCCCGGCAGCCCCUUGCUCCGUUCUGCUCGCCUGUCCAAUGUUCGGUCCAACCCCACCCCCACUCCCCAACCACUAGCGGACUGAGAUAGAUUUUAAUUCUGUCGUUUUUUUACAAAUUAGUUUGGGCUGAUUUCGUAUUAACGCACGAUUCUUUCCUGUCAUCCCCUUAGACGUAGCAAUCAUAGGGCCAUAUCAAAUAGCUAGAUGGACUGGCUAAUGGCUUUACUGAUUAUAUCUAAUACAUAAAUAUACUUCUGUAUGAACCUUGCUGUACAUCUGGGAACUCAAAGAGCGAGCUGAUUAAGAUAUCUUCUGAUUAAUAUGUGUUAUGCUUUCAGCUUCUACAUGAACAUGUCAUGAACCUCUCACCUCUAUAAAGUAUACACCGCAUCUAAGAACAUGCCGAGUAACAUUGGGGUAUGUGCUGAUUACAAUAUGUAGCUUGUUAAUUCAGUUAUGCAGGUAUGUUAGAGCAUGGGCCACUAUACCUUCGUGAGGACACACUAAAUUUUCUGACACCCCUUUUGCUAAGUAAGAUGCGCCACUCUGGAGUCUGGACUGGCCAAACUGGAAGGCAGCGACUUGUCGGCAGAGUAGAGGCAAGGCAAGAGGAGGCCAUCUUCACAUCCACUCCUUCAACUGCUACCUGUGGUAGAACAAAAAGAUUGCAUUCUCCUGUGACCUCUUGCAUCUUGGACCUUCAAUAAUCUGUUGAGCUGUUCGUGCAAUGUUUCAUUUGACUGAUAAUACUGAGAUAAACAUGUGAUGCACACUGAUUGCCAUAUAUAAGCUACUGCAGUAUAAUACUAAUAUAACUCACUAGGUAACUGAUUUGAUGCUAAUUAGUUAUAAGUGACUUUGUUUAAUUCUGCAAAUGUUCUUUUUAGACCGCAGCAUUUCUUUCCUGUACGGCCAUAUGUUGCUUGGUUAAAAUAAUGAAAGACAGAUUAUCAAAAUGGUUGGUGGAAACUUGCAACCUUAGUGGCUGCUCACGAGUUUGUUACGGGUCUGUCAAGCAGGUGUGCUCAAGCACGCAGCAAUCCCAGGUCUUUCAGUCGUUGAAAGAUGCUGUUCUUCUCACAAAAUAAAAUACAAUUGAAUCGCGAAUGAAAAGGUGAUAACUACAUCUACUUAGUCAGUUUUUUUUUGCCAAUGUUGUAAAUCUUAUUCUCAUCAUGACACAAUUCUAGCACCUCAACUCUUACUUUUCAUAUCCCCUCAUAAAUCAUCCUUGCAUUUGCUUUCGAAGUUGGAAAAUCAUGUGAACAAUUUUGGCUACAUCUGAAUGGUAAAUAGGAUAUAAUUUCUUAUCUAUGGAAAUUAUUUAGUUGACUGUUAUUACUUUUAUAAAUUUUGUUUCCCAUCAUGCUGAUUUGAUCACUGCUAUUUCAUUUAUCUCUGUCUGGCCAAGUGGACCAUGGACAACCAACAUUUACGAAGUGAAAGUUGCAGGUAUCAAAUUUUUGUGUGGUUGAGUAGACAAUGGUCUGACUUAAGCUUAUUAGAAAUUCCAUCGAUUCUUUUCGUUUCUAAAAUAAAUAAUAUUUUAAAAUAUAUUUGGACGUAUCUUGCAGUUCUUUGUCAUACUCAAUGUUUUGAUGAAAAGUGGCCAUGAGAGUAAAAAUAUUACAUAUCUACCUCAAUUUCUAAUACUCAAUCUGAAGUGGCUUAUCUCAAAUUAGUAUAAAGUAUGAUUUUAGCAUACUAGAAUUUCAUAGGAUAGGAAGGUAAAAUCAGUGUAGUUUAAGGAUUACUCAAGUAUUUUUUUCCCAUUACGAUUCUCAUUUCAAACAUGAUAAGCUUGGUUCUUUUCUCACUUCCUCUCCUAUUUUUUUGGUAGUAUUCUAUUCUCCAGCAGUACCAGAUUAUUUGAUUGUGCAGCAACCAUAUGUAGCUAUGUGCUUUAUUCUUAUUGAUUAUUAAAUUAAGAGGUUAUGGAUUUUAUUACACAUCUUUCUUUGCAGACUUUUACCCCAUGAUUGCAAUUUGAAAGAGCAAGAACCAUGAGCAAGUUCCUUUUUUUUAAAAAGAAUUUUAGGUGCAGCCAUGAAAUUGGUAUGUGGUGUCAGUUUCACCUUUUCAUUCUAAAGGUAUGAGUUUAAAGGAGAUCGACCAACUAUGAAUGGCAUGCUGCACAACCUGGAGACCCCUACUUAUGUCAUUAUUUGUACUUUUAUUAUUUAUAUUUGUAAUUCACCUAUCUUUGUUUUGUCUCUUGGAUGAAUGAUUGCAUGAUUUGGAACAUCUUUGAGCUCUAUGGCUGUUGCCACUUGAUACCUAUGUGUAUUGUGUAUUGGUUAGCCUGCCAUAUAAAAGUUGAUUUUCGUUA
This is an RNA transcript of Panicum virgatum (switchgrass), 2755 nucleotides long. RefSeq lists it as uncharacterized. The record is from RefSeq and is a predicted model, not a curated record. Lineage: Eukaryota; Viridiplantae; Streptophyta; Magnoliopsida; Poales; Poaceae. The transcript is spliced from 5 exons.